RNAcentral lists this ribosomal RNA (499 nucleotides) under uncultured bacterium. Its description in RNAcentral is "partial 16S ribosomal RNA". It matches the Rfam family "Bacterial small subunit ribosomal RNA", at positions 355 to 845 of the family's 1533-position model. The record is from RNAcentral.
UAGGGAAUCUUCCACAAUGGACGCAAGUCUGAUGGAGCAACGCCGCGUGAGUGAAGAAGGCUUUCGGGUCGUAAAACUCUGUUGUUGGAGAAGAAUGGUCGGCAGAGUAACUGUUGUCGGCGUGACGGUAUCCAACCAGAAAGCCACGGCUAACUACGUGCCAGCAGCCGCGGUAAUACGUAGGUGGCAAGCGUUAUCCGGAUUUAUUGGGCGUAAAGCGAGCGCAGGCGGUUUUUUAAGUCUGAUGUGAAAGCCCUCGGCUUAACCGAGGAAGUGCAUCGGAAACUGGAAAACUUGAGUGCAGAAGAGGACAGUGGAACUCCAUGUGUAGCGGUGAAAUGCGUAGAUAUAUGGAAGAACACCAGUGGCGAAGGCGGCUGUCUGGUCUGUAACUGACGCUGAGGCUCGAAAGCAUGGGUAGCGAACAGGAUUAGAUACCCUGGUAGUCCAUGCCGUAAACGAUGAAUGCUAGGUGUUGGAGGGUUUCCGCCCUUCAGUG